This 465-nucleotide ribosomal RNA is filed under the name uncultured bacterium. Its description in RNAcentral is "partial 16S ribosomal RNA". It matches the Rfam family "Bacterial small subunit ribosomal RNA", at positions 339 to 795 of the family's 1533-position model. The record is from RNAcentral.
CUACGGGGGGCAGCAGUGAGGAAUUUUGCGCAAUGGGGGGAACCCUGACGCAGCAACGCCGCGUGAGUGAUGAAGGCUUUCGGGUCGUAAAGCUCUGUCAAGUGGGAAGAACCUAUGCAGUGUUAAUAUCACUGUAUACUGACGGUACCACUGAAGGAAGCACCGGCUAACUCCGUGCCAGCAGCCGCGGUAAUACGGGGGGUGCAAGCGUUAUUCGGAAUCAUUGGGCGUAAAGGGCACGUAGGCGGCUUGGUAAGUCAGAUGUGAAAGCCCGGGGCUUAACCCCGGAAGUGCAUUUGAUGCUGUCAGGCUUGAGUAUGGGAGAGGGAAGUGGAAUUCCUGGUGUAGAGGUGAAACUCGUAGAUAUCAGGAGGAACACCGGUGGCGAAGGCGACUUCCUGGACCAAUACUGACGCUGAGGUGCGAAGGCGUGGGUAGCAAACAGGAUUAGAUACCCUCGUAGUC